CCUACGGGAGGCAGCAGUGGGGAAUAUUGGACAAUGGGGGCAACCCUGAUCCAGCAAUGCCGCGUGUGUGAUGAAGGCCUUAGGGUUGUAAAGCACUUUCACUGGUGAAGAUGAUGACGGUAGCCAGAGAAGAAGCCCCGGCUAACUUCGUGCCAGCAGCCGCGGUAAUACGAAGGGGGCGAGCGUUGUUCGGAAUUACUGGGCGUAAAGGGCGCGUAGGCGGUCUUUUAAGUUAGGCGUGAAAGCCCCGGGCUCAACCUGGGAACUGCGCUUAAUACUGGAAGACUAGAAAACGGAAGAGGGUAGUGGAAUUCCCAGUGUAGAGGUGAAAUUCGUAGAUAUUGGGAAGAACACCAGUGGUGAAAGCGGCUACCUGGUCCGAUUUUGACGCUGAGGCGCGAAAGCGUGGGGAGCAAACAGGAUUAGAUACCCUGGUAGUCCACGCCGUAAACGAUGUCUGCUAGAUGUCGGGGGGUUGCCCCUCGGUGUCGCCGCUAACGCAUUAAGCAGACCGCCUGGGAAGUACGGUCGCAAGAUUAAAACUCAAAGGAAUUGACGG
Molecule: ribosomal RNA, 559 nt
Filed under: uncultured bacterium
Lineage: Bacteria
Description: bacterial SSU rRNA
Rfam family: Bacterial small subunit ribosomal RNA
Source: RNAcentral